UGAGUGUCUAUUGGUUUCUUGGUGCUCACA
Molecule: non-coding RNA, 30 nt
Filed under: Mus musculus (house mouse)
Lineage: Eukaryota; Metazoa; Chordata; Mammalia; Rodentia; Muridae
Source: RNAcentral